UGUUGGCCAUGCACCACUAGCCCGGCCGUGCUCGUUUUUGCAGCGGCAACCGCAUCUUCUUCCAAGAAAGCAAAGUGAGGAGAAGGAGAAGCAAGUGAAGGAAGUGGAAACGAUAGCGUAGUCUACAGCUGCGGAACGGAGCCAGACAAAACCAGCCCAAGAGUUAUUUACAUACGCUUCGCAUUUGACAAGUUGUACGAACCAGAUCCGCAUGUAAGUGUCUGGUUAUCUUCAAUCCCUCUUUUAAAUA
Molecule: long non-coding RNA, 250 nt
Organism: Setaria italica (foxtail millet)
Lineage: Eukaryota; Viridiplantae; Streptophyta; Magnoliopsida; Poales; Poaceae
Exons: 3
Source: RefSeq, a predicted model, not a curated record